UACGAAGGGGGCGAGCGUUGUUCGGAAUCACUGGGCGUAAAGGGCGCGUAGGCGGCCCUCUUAGUCGCGUGUGAAAGCCCCGGGCUCAACCUGGGAACGGCGCGCGAAACGGGAGGGCUGGAGUUCGGGAGAGGAGAGUGGAAUUCCCGGUGUAGCGGUGAAAUGCGUAGAGAUCGGGAGGAACACCAGUGGCGAAGGCGGCUACCUGGACCAGCACUGACACUGAGGCACGAAAGCGUGGGGAGCAAACAGG
RNAcentral lists this ribosomal RNA (253 nucleotides) under uncultured bacterium. Its description in RNAcentral is "partial 16S ribosomal RNA". It matches the Rfam family "Bacterial small subunit ribosomal RNA", at positions 524 to 776 of the family's 1533-position model. The record is from RNAcentral.